UUUGUGGGCACAGGUUUGCCCAAUAAAAAGUUUGUUUCAUCAAUCACAGUUUUGCGACUGUUUUCUUCAUCGUCACUACCCAGGCAGCAAAAGUCGGCUACAAGCGUUCCUGACUCGGCUUGACCCAGCUUUACACGGCUAGUGCUAAGUUAAGCUCUAAAUUAGACGUCUUCUGUACAGCUUAUAUUAUAUGUCUUGAAGACUUCUGCUAUAAGACCUGGUGGAGACGUACAGGCUCAGGUACACAUUUUUAAAGUCAAUCUCCAAGUCUUGCAAGCAAAACUUGCGCACAUUUUUACUACCAGCUUGCAACGAUUCCUUCGACAGCACCAUCAGUGGAAUGAUUACAUCGUUAUGUUAUCAUCACAUAACAGCUCUCCGCACAAUACAGUGUAUUACCAGCGUACUGCAAGGUUUAUGCUCGAGACGAUUUCGCAUAGACCGCUAGUUAGACGGUUACAGCACGCGUACCAAGUAUCAGCCACUGAGGAAGGUACCUUCCUCCAUGGCCAAUUCAAACCUACCGGGUCAGCUCAAACUGAAAGCCGGGCCAUAGUUUCGUGUGCCCGUCAUGGCAAUACAACAAAACCUUUCAAUAAAUAUGUGUACCGUUAUUACGCAAUUCGUAAAAGCUUUAAUAAAAACAUUUUGAACGAAGUUUCACAGGCUAGUAUAACAUGGCGCGGCGCAACAGUUGGUGCGCUACUAUGGCUUGGCCGCUUCCAACACUAGCUCCCGCGCCUCCCGUGCUGCCGUGCAUUGUCUCCGUUCGCGCUUGCCGUGUCGCGCAUGGCCGCGCGCCCGCGCCUUGCAAAGAAUUCAACGGGUCGGUUUCAUGCAGACAUUGCAUUCCCUGUGUGUUUCUGCGUUGAUGGCUCAGCUUCAUUUUGGUGCUUUCAGACAUUCACAUACUAAUGACAGACAUGGGAAGACUAUAAGACGUCAAGAUGAAAGGCUCCUAGCAGCUCUCAGUGUUCCCAACGAAACUGGCAGAAUGGCAAUGGCUUGAUUACAAGCUGCCUUUGGAGAACAAAGAAACCGUGACCACAUUAGAAUCCGAGCACAGCUCCAAUCCUGCAUUCUGACGACACCUUACACAACGGCUCUCUGUUAUGGGGGGCCGGUACUUAAGGAGCUUUACUGCGGGCAUCCUACCCACUAUUUUCAGACAGUUUGGGUGGAAACUUAAGCUAGACUCUAGGCCAGCGGCGGAAAAAGAGCUUCAGGGACGUGCAUGUCUACAGUGUUAUGGAAGGUAAGUUUAGAGGGCUGCUGUUUGACUGGGCAUAAGUGGAGUGACUCUUACCCACAAAAUCCAUGCUGUUUUGAAUGAACAAAUAAAUAAAAACAUGAACACAUUUGAAAAAAUAUCAUCCAUCCAGUGUAGCUAAGUCGGGUGGAUAUCUUUUUCUUUUAUAAGCCUUCCUCCCCCUUGCAGUUCCAUAGAACUGAUGUUCCACAAAUUUUAUUUAUGAGUUGCAGAUCUGUUCGUAUGUAGCAAUGGUUCGAUAUCAGCCACAACUGCUGAUACCGUGUACACGUGCUACUUGCACUGUUUGACUAGAUGGUUUGGUAUUCCAGAAGCUAUUCAUAGCAAUACCACGUGGGAAAAUGUGAUGAUCCCAUGCCAUUCGCCAAGCAGCAACUGCCUGGUUGA
Long non-coding RNA from Dermacentor silvarum, 1657 nucleotides. RefSeq lists it as uncharacterized. NCBI's taxonomy places the organism in Eukaryota, Metazoa, Arthropoda, Arachnida, Ixodida, Ixodidae. The transcript is spliced from 3 exons. The record is from RefSeq and is a predicted model, not a curated record.